Molecule: microRNA precursor, 100 nt
Filed under: Setaria italica (foxtail millet)
Lineage: Eukaryota; Viridiplantae; Streptophyta; Magnoliopsida; Poales; Poaceae
Also listed under: 1 other name
Description: pre miRNA mir-166
Rfam family: mir-166 microRNA precursor family
About the family: This family represents the plant microRNA (miRNA) precursor mir-166. Animal miRNAs are transcribed as ~70nt precursors and subsequently processed by the Dicer enzyme to give a ~22nt product.
Source: Rfam by way of RNAcentral
UCUGUGUGGAAUGUUGUCUGGUUCUAGGCCUUGAGAGGGGACAUGCAUGGUCAUGCCUCGUCUUGUUUGGGCCCUCGGACCAGGCUUCAUUCCCCUCAGA